UUUACAUAAGGCUUUGCACAUGAUGUGUAGAGAUGUUGAUGAUGCUGCUAAAUUUUCCCUCUCUUUUUAUUAUUAUGCUAUUAUUUUUAUCUUGAUAUUAUAUUUUUCAUUUUUUUAACACUUUAACUUAAUUUAAUUUUUAAUGCAAAUUAACAUCUAACUACUAACUUUUGUUAUUUCUUUUUAUUUUCAACUUUUAUUCAUCUUUUGAUUGAUUAGUUGAUUAAUUUUCAU
RNAcentral lists this long non-coding RNA (234 nucleotides) under Lathyrus oleraceus (garden pea). RNAcentral's name for it is "Pisum sativum (pea) long non-coding RNA (PSAT_LNC006842)". The record is from RNAcentral. Lineage: Eukaryota; Viridiplantae; Streptophyta; Magnoliopsida; Fabales; Fabaceae.